CUGGGCGUAAGCGCACGCAGGCGGUCUGUCAAGUCGGAUGUGAAAUCCCCGGGCUCAACCUGGGAACUGCAUUCGAAACUGGCAGGCUAGAGUCUUGUAGAGGGGGGUAGAAUUCCAGGUGUAGCGGUGAAAUGCGUAGAGAUCUGGAGGAAUACCGGUGGCGAAGGCGGCCCCCUGGACAAAGACUGACGCUCAGGUGCGAAAGCGUGGGGAGCAAACAGGAUUAGAUACCCUGGUAGUCCACGCCGUAAACGAUGUCGACUUGGAGGUUGUGCCCUUGAGGCGUGGCUUCCGGAGCUAACGCGUUAAGUCGACCGCCUGGGGAGUACGGCCGCAAGGUUAAAACUCAAAUGAAUUGACGGGGGCCCGCACAAGCGGUGGAGCAUGUGGUUUAAUUCGAUGCAACGCGAAGAACCUUACCUACUCUUGACAUCCAGAGAACUUUGCAGAGAUGGAUUGGUGCCUUCGGGAACUCUGAGACAGGUGCUGCAUGGCUGUCGUCAGCUCGUGUUGUGAAAUGUUGGGUUAAGUCCCGCAACGAGCGCAACCCUUAUCCUUUGUUGCCAGCGGUUCGGCCGGGAACUCACAGGAGACUGCCAGUGAUAAACUGGAGGAAGGUGGGGAUGACGUCAAGUCAUCAUGGGCCUUACG
RNAcentral lists this ribosomal RNA (651 nucleotides) under Enterobacter hormaechei. Its description in RNAcentral is "bacterial SSU rRNA". It matches the Rfam family "Bacterial small subunit ribosomal RNA", at positions 554 to 1206 of the family's 1533-position model. The record is from RNAcentral. Lineage: Bacteria; Pseudomonadati; Pseudomonadota; Gammaproteobacteria; Enterobacterales; Enterobacteriaceae.